GACGAACGCUGGCGGCGUGCUUAACACAUGCAAGUCGAACGGAAAGGCCCUGCUUUUGUGGGGUGCUCGAGUGGCGAACGGGUGAGUAACACGUGAGUAACCUGCCCUUGACUUUGGGAUAACUUCAGGAAACUGGGGCUAAUACCGGAUAGGAGCUCCUGCUGCAUGGUGGGGGUUGGAAAGUUUCGGCGGUUGGGGAUGGACUCGCGGCUUAUCAGCUUGUUGGUGGGGUAGUGGCUUACCAAGGCUUUGACGGGUAGCCGGCCUGAGAGGGUGACCGGCGACAUUGGGACUGAGAGACGGCCCAGAAUCCUACGGGAGGCAGCAGUGGGGAAUAUUGCACAAUGGGCGGAAGCCUGAUGCAGCAAAGCCGCGUGCGGGAUGACGGCCUUCGGGUUGUAAACCGCUUUCGCCUGUGACGAAGCGUGAGUGACGGUAAUGGGUAAAGAAGCACCGGCUAACUACGUG
Molecule: ribosomal RNA, 468 nt
Filed under: uncultured bacterium
Lineage: Bacteria
Description: partial 16S ribosomal RNA
Rfam family: Bacterial small subunit ribosomal RNA
Source: RNAcentral